CCACAUAGUUGCUUACACUGCCCAUAAUAACCCUCUUGAUCUUUCCAAGCCCUCUGUUCCCUAUGACCAGACAGCUCAAGGGAGUUUUAUCAAUUGCUUCACAUAACUUCUCUCGAGCAUCUCCCCAGAAAAUUUUCAUGACUACUGUGAUCUCCAUCUGCCUAGCUGCAAGGGUUAUCAUUUGCAAUGUUUCAGGGUCAGGGUUAACCCCAUACCUCUUCAUUGUGUGGCCAUCACAUAUCUCUGAUAAAGGUAUUAAAGGAGAACCAGUGGCCUCCCAGAGCUGCAUCUCUCCUUCUUCAUAGUGUCCUUCAGGACGAACAGUGACGAGAAUAAGAUGAUCCCCUUUACGAAGAAUAUUAUCAAUGGCCCAUUUCAGAGCUUUGUUGCUGCAAGCUGAGAAAUCGACUGCUACCCCAACAAAUCUACCACCUCCUUCCAUACCUACAACUCCAAGAUUUUUGCUUGGUUAAACAGUUUCUUGAAAAACCAAUAUAGUGAUAGAGAGAGCAAUUGGGUUCAAAAUGGAUUUUUUUUGAUGAAGAAGAAGGAAAAGUAGUGCG
RNAcentral lists this unclassified non-coding RNA (563 nucleotides) under Hevea brasiliensis (rubber tree). The record is from RNAcentral. Lineage: Eukaryota; Viridiplantae; Streptophyta; Magnoliopsida; Malpighiales; Euphorbiaceae.